RNAcentral lists this ribosomal RNA (463 nucleotides) under Amietia vertebralis (large-mouthed frog). Its description in RNAcentral is "partial 16S ribosomal RNA". It matches the Rfam family "Bacterial large subunit ribosomal RNA", at positions 1935 to 2562 of the family's 2925-position model. The record is from RNAcentral. Lineage: Eukaryota; Metazoa; Chordata; Amphibia; Anura; Pyxicephalidae.
GGUACCCUAACCGUGCGAAGGUAGCAUAAUCACGUUGUUCUUUAAAUGGGGACUAGUAUCGACGGCAUCACGAGGGUUACACUGUCUCCUUUCUCCAAUCAGUGAAACUGAUCUCCCCGAUGAAGAAGCGGGGAUAAGAUUAUUACACGAGAAGACCCCAUGGAGCUUUAAGCUCAACAACAACUCCUAUGAAAAUAAUUCACCAUAGUACACGAACCCUGUUUGUUAGCUUUAGGUUGGGGUGACCGCGGAGUAUAAUACAACCUCCACGGCGAACGGGUUUAAGACCCUAAUCCAAGAGCCACUGCUCUAAGAAUCAUCCAAUUGACGUACAAUGAUCCGAUUUUCGAUCAACGACCCAAGUUACCCUGGGGAUAACAGCGCAAUCCAUUUCUAGAGCCCCUAUCGACAAAUGGGUUUACGACCUCGAUGUUGGAUCAGGGUAUCCUAGUGGUGCAUCCGC